Molecule: ribosomal RNA, 323 nt
Filed under: uncultured Chloroflexota bacterium
Lineage: Bacteria; Bacillati; Chloroflexota
Description: bacterial SSU rRNA
Rfam family: Bacterial small subunit ribosomal RNA
Source: RNAcentral
GAUGAACGCUGGCGGCGUGCUUAAUACAUGCAAGUCGAACGGAGGAUAUAGCAAUAUGUCCUCAGUGGCGAACGGGUGAGUAACGCGUUGGUGACCUGCCCCGAAGCGUGGGAUAACAGGCCGAAAGGCCUGCUAAUACCGCAUGAGCUAGCCAUGGAUUAGGAAGUGGUUAGGAAACGGAGCAAUCCGCUUUGGGAGGGGCCUGCGUCCCAUCAGCUAGUUGGUAAGGUAACGGCUUACCAAGGCGAUGACGGGUAGGGGGCCUGAGAGGGUGAACCCCCACAAUGGAACUGAAACACGGUCCAUACACCUACGGGUGGCUG